UACGUAGGAGGCGAGCGUUGUCCGGAGUUACUGGGCGUAAAGGGUGCGCAGGCGGUGGCCUAAGUUUGCGGUGAAAGCUCCCGGCUUACCUGGGAGAGGGCCGUGAAGACUGGGGCACUUGAGGCGUGGAGAGGGACGUGGAAUUCCGGGUGGAGCGGUGAAAUGCAUAGAGAUCCGGAAGAACACCAACGGCGAAGGCAGCGUCCUGGCCACGAUCUGACGCUCAGGCACGAAAGCGCGGGGAGCGAACAGG
This 253-nucleotide ribosomal RNA is filed under the name uncultured prokaryote. RNAcentral's name for it is "partial 16S ribosomal RNA". It matches the Rfam family "Bacterial small subunit ribosomal RNA", at positions 524 to 776 of the family's 1533-position model. The record is from RNAcentral.